CUGCGAAUCAUUCCGACCGACGUUUACCAGCCAGCGACGCUUCCGGUUUAGAUAGGAAGCCGCCAUAUGCGGGGCGAAAGACUGAAAGAUCGUUAAGAUGGGAGCCUCCCUUUUGCUAUGUGAGCAUCUCAGAGAUUCAUCCACACCUCUCUGCAGUUUUAUAAAGAAUGGAAUGGAAGUUGGAAGGGACCAUGGAGGUCUUCUAGUCCAGCCCCCUGCUCAAGCAGGAGAACCUGUACCAUUUCAGAAAGCUCUCAGAACAGCACAUUCAGAUAUGGCCAUCAAUGUUUAUCAGCGUACUACUAUAUCCCCUCAACUUGCCACCUACUCAAAUCCUGCAGAGCAUUCCCUUCCCAUCCCAGCUGCCAGCAUCCUUUGUUUUUCACCACUCCUUCAAAUACUUUGUCUGAAAUAAUACAGAUUUCUCUUAUUUUUGUAAAUGGACCAAAUAACUGACACGUAUGAAAGGACUACCCAAACCCAGCUACUUUGUAUACAGAAUGAUUCAUAAAUGGAACUCUUUAUAUAUCACUAAAUAUAUAAAUAAAAUAAAAAUAUUUAAAUUUUAAAAUAUUAUGUAAAAACUAGUGUGUGCGUAUGUGUGUGUAUAUUUGUAUAUUACAGUGAAAACCCAACUGUUAUACAUAUGCUGCAAAAAGCAGCACAGUUAGGAGAUUUUAGUCAUGCCAUUUCUGCAAAGUAAACUAAUACUGCUAUGUCUAGGCAGGUGGGAAGAAUACUAACACUGUGAAAUAGUUCAUCAUCUAACUCCUUGUAAUUUUUUAUUUAGGGAUAUGUAGAUUAGAGAGGGGGAAUGAACUAAGUAGCAUACAGUAUGUUUAGAGCCCACUCUGAUACUUUUUUAAAUUAAAUGUACAACUAAGCACAAUAUGUGGAACUCAGGAUGACACAGGCAGUUCUGAAAGCAUCUGUGUAAUAUAAAUAUAAGUAAACAAAGUAUUUAUUAAAAAAGGAUGAAUCAACUAGUUAAAAAAGGAUGUUCCAUGUCUAAGAAUAUCUAUUUUUUCCAUCCCCACUGUAAAAUAAUUUUACGUACUCCACUGCUCCCUGCUCAGAAUGCUCACCACAGUUUUCCAAAUUAAAAUAAAGAACAAUACUUAAACAACCUUCUGAUCGGCAUUCAGAAGGUUGCAAAUAUAGUCUCUGGCCACUUCAAAGUAAAGAAUCCUGAAACACGGAAGAACUAUCACCAAAGUAAACUUAGGAUGCUCAGUGUAUCAUAGAAAGUUCUCUAAAUGCUUAACAGAUUUCUUGUCCCUAAUGGUUUACAUAAAAAAAAAA
Molecule: long non-coding RNA, 1302 nt
Organism: Crotalus tigris (Tiger rattlesnake)
Lineage: Eukaryota; Metazoa; Chordata; Lepidosauria; Squamata; Viperidae
Exons: 3
Source: RefSeq, a predicted model, not a curated record